GAUGAAGAACGUAGUGAAAUGCGAUACUUGGUGUGAAUUGCAGAAUCCCGCGAAUCAUCGAGUUUUUGAACGCAAGUUGCGCCCGAAGCCAUUCGGCCGAGGGCACGUCUGCCUGGGUGUCACGCAUCGUUGCCCCCCCAAACUCCGGUUCGGGCGGGGCGGAAGUUGGCCUCCCGUGCGUGCCUGCGCGCGCGGUUAGCCCAAAAGCGAGUCCUCGGCGACGAGCGCCGCGACAAUCGGUGGUUUUUUUACCCUCGUUCCUCGUCGUGCGUGCCCCGUCGCCCGAACGCGCUCUUGCGACCCUUACGCGUCGCCUCGGCGGCGCUCCCAACGCGACCCCAGGUCAGGCGGGACUACCCGCUGAGUUUAAGCAUAUCAAUAAGCGGAGGA
Molecule: unclassified non-coding RNA, 390 nt
Filed under: soil metagenome
Description: partial contains 5.8S ribosomal RNA, internal transcribed spacer 2, and large subunit ribosomal RNA
Rfam family: 5.8S ribosomal RNA (bases 1-122)
Source: RNAcentral